CAAAUUUCAAGGAGGCACCAAGAGGCCCCAUAUUACUUCCAAACCAUAGGUAAUGCCCAGAUCUCAUUUCUCCCCUGAGCCUCUAACCAGAACUCCUGUUGCACAGCUGUGAAGACGGACUCAAGCUGCCCUCAUGUUCUUUGCCCUGCUGUUCGCUUUCUAUUGAUGGUGCUGAGGGAAGGAAACAUACCCAAGUUAAGUAACCCCAAAGGAAAGGAGAAGAAACCAAAGAUGGACUCAAUCUAGAUCCCUGUAAUUAUUUCAUCCUGGAAUUCACAGCCAGAAAGGAGUUUGCCUGCAGACUGCAAGCUUCUUGCAGGCCGAACUUAGACUUCAUUCUUCAUAACCUUGGCACCAAGCACAGUGCACAGUAUGUGGUGAGUAUGCAAAAAACAAACACUUCUUUAAAAGCAGAAGAUGAAAUGGAGGGAU
This 432-nucleotide long non-coding RNA is filed under the name Pan paniscus (pygmy chimpanzee). Its description in RNAcentral is "lncRNA (ENSPPAG00000045361.1)". Lineage: Eukaryota; Metazoa; Chordata; Mammalia; Primates; Hominidae. The record is from RNAcentral.